Molecule: long non-coding RNA, 2629 nt
Organism: Oncorhynchus keta (chum salmon)
Lineage: Eukaryota; Metazoa; Chordata; Actinopteri; Salmoniformes; Salmonidae
Exons: 3
Source: RefSeq, a predicted model, not a curated record
CUUAACUGACUUGCCUAGUUAAAUAAUGAAAUUGUUGUUUACAGAAACCCCCUAAGUCAUCAAAUCGUUAUAGCCGUUCGAAGUAAAAGCCUACCCACGUGUAGACUUUUGAUAAAUCAAUCAAUGUCAGAUUUUUCUUUUCACUGAACCUUCAUUUGGAUAUUGGUUAGGCUACAAUGAGGCUGUGGAAAUGUUAGCUAAAUUGAGAAGAAUCCCGUGGCUGUGAUGUAGGGUUCAGUCAGGAGUUGAUGGACGGUCAGAGGAAGAGCAAAUUAAAUGGACGCCUCCAAUGUCAUUUUAGAGAAUUUGGCAGUAGGUCCAACCGGCCUCACAACCACAGACCACGUGUAACCACGCCAGCCCAUGACCUCCACAUCUGGCUUCUUCACCUGUGGGAUAGUCUGAGAUCAGCCAUCCUGACAGCUGAUGAAGCUGUGGGUUAGCACAACCAAAUAAUUUCUGCACAAACUGUCUGAACCCGUCUCAGAGAAGUUCAUCUGCGUGCUCAUCAUCCUCAACAGGGCCUUGACCUGACUGCAGUUUGGCAUCGUAACCGACUUCAGUGGACAAAUGCUCACCUUCGAUGGCCACUUGGCACGCUGGAGACUUGUGCUUUUCACGGAUAAAUCCCAGUUUGGCACACUGUGUAUCUCAGUUGCUUGCAACUCCAGGGUUGUGGGUUUGAUUCCCAUGUGGGAUAAGUUACAAAAAAGUAUGAAAAUGUGUGUACUCACUACUGUAAGUCGUGCUGGAUAAGAGCGUCUACUAAAAUCAGUGGUUUGCUGACGUCAACGUUGUGAACAGAAUGUCCCGUGGGAUUAUGGUAUGGGCAGGCAUAAAUUACGGACACAAUUCCUGUGAUGAGAUCCUGAGGCCCAUUGUCGUGCCAUUCAUCUGCUGCCAUCACCUCAUGAUAAUGCAAGGAUCUGUACUAGAGGUCGACCGAUUAAUCAGAAUGGCUGAUUAAUUAGGGCCGAUUUAAAAAAAAAAGUUUUCAUAACAAUCGGAAAUCAGUGUUUUUGGGCGCCGAUAUUAUUAUUUUUUUUAUACCUUUUAUUUAACUAGGCAAGUCAGUUAAGAACACGUUCUUAUUUUCAAUGACGGCCAAGGAACAGUGGGUUAACUGCCUCGUUCAGGGGCAGAACGACAGAUUUUUACCUUGUCAGCUCGGGGGAUCCAAUCUUGCAAAUUUACAGUUAACUAGUCCAACGCAAUAACGACCUGCCUCUCUCUCUCUCUCUCGUUGCACUCCACAAGGAGACUGCCUGUUACGCAAAUGCAGUAAGCCUAGUUCCUAGCUAGCAUUAAACUUAUCUUUAUAAAAGACAAUCAAUGAUAAUCACUAGUUAACUACACAUGGUUGAUAUUACUAGUUAUUAUCUAGCGUGUCCUGCGUUGCAUAUAAUCUGACUGAGCAUACAAGUAUCUAAGUAUCUGACUGAGCGGUGGUAGGCAAAAGCAGGCGCAUAAACAUUAAUUCAAACAGCACUUUCGUGCGUUUUGCCAGCAGCCUUUGUUGUGCGUCAAGCAUUGCGCUAUUUAUGACUUCAAUUCCAUCAACUCCCGAGAUGAGGCUGGUGUAAACAAAGUGAAAUGGCUAGCUAGUUAGCGUGUGCUAAUAGCAUUUCAAACGUCACUCGCUCUGAGCCUUCUAGUAGUUGAUCCCCUUGCUCUGCAUGGAUAACGCUGCUUCGAUGGUGGCUGUUGUCAUUGUAUUGCUGGUUCGAGCCCAGGGAGGAGCGAGGAGAGGGACGGAAGCUGUACUGUUACACUGCCAAUACUAAAGUGCCUAUAAGAACAUCCAAUAGUCAAAGGUUAAUGAAAUACAAACAGUAUAGAGGGAAAUAGUCCUAUAAUUACUAUAAUAACUACAACUUAAAACUUCUUACCUGGGAAUAUUGAAGACUCAUGUUAAAAGGAACCACCAGCUUUCAUAUGUUCUGAGCAAGGAACGGAAAUGUUAGCUUUCUUACAUAGCACAUAUUGCACUCUUACUUUCUUCUCACACACUUCGUUUUUGCAUUAUUUAAACCAAAUUGAACAUGUUUCAUUAUUUACUUGAGGCUAAAUUGAUUAUUGAUGUCUUAUAUUAAAUUAAAAUAAUCGGUAUCUGCUUUUUUGGUCCUCCAAUAAUCUGUAUCGGUAACUGCGUUGAAAAAUCAUAAUCGGUCGACCAUUAAUCUGUACACUAUUCCUGGAAGCUGAAAAUGCCCAAUUCUUCCAUGGGCUGCAUACUCACCAGACAUGUCAUCCAUUGAGCAUGUUUGGGAUGCUGUGGAUUGACAUGUUUGACACCAUGUUCCUGCCAAUAUCAAUCAACUUCGCACAGCCACUGAAGCGGAGUGGGACAACAUUCCACAGGUCACAAUCAAUAGCCUUAUCAACUCUAUGCGAACAAGAUGUGUCGUGCUGCAUGAGGAAAAUGGUGGUCACACCAGAUACUGACUAGUUUUCUGAUCCACGCCCCUACUUUUAAAAAAAGAUACUAUAUCUGUGACCAAUAGACGCAUAUCUGUAUUCCCAGUCAUGUGGAAUCCAUAGGAUAGGACUUUAUUUAUUUAAAUUGACUGAUUUCCUUGUAUGAACUGUAACUCAGUAAAAUCUCACUUUUUUUAUGCCCAUUAUUGAA